UACGGAGGAUGCGAGCGUUAUCCGGAUUUAUUGGGUUUAAAGGGUGCGUAGGCGGGCUUUUAAGUCAGCGGUAAAAAUUCGGGGCUCAACCCCGUCCGGCCGUUGAAACUGGGGGCCAUGAGUGGGCGAGAAGAAGGCGGAAUGCGUGGUGUAGCGGUGAAAUGCAUAGAUAUCACGCAGAACCCCGAUUGCGAAGGCAGCCUUCCGGCGCCCUACUGACGCUGAGGCACGAAAGUGCGGGGAUCGAACAGG
Molecule: ribosomal RNA, 252 nt
Filed under: uncultured bacterium
Lineage: Bacteria
Description: partial 16S ribosomal RNA
Rfam family: Bacterial small subunit ribosomal RNA
Source: RNAcentral